AUCGAGGAUUCGUCCAAGUGAAGUAGAGGACAGUGGCGGACGGGUGAGUAACGCGUGAGGAACCUGCCUUUCAGAGGGGGACAACAGUUGGAAACGACUGCUAAUACCGCAUAAGCCCACGGUACCACAUGGUACAGUGAGAAAAGGAGAAAUCCGCUGAAAGAUGGACUCGCGUCUGAUUAGAUAGUUGGUGGGGUAACGGCCUACCAAGUCGACGAUCAGUAGCCGGACUGAGAGGUUGAACGGCCACAUUGGGACUGAGAGACGGCCCAGACUCC
Molecule: ribosomal RNA, 278 nt
Filed under: uncultured Oscillospiraceae bacterium
Lineage: Bacteria; Bacillati; Bacillota; Clostridia; Eubacteriales; Oscillospiraceae
Description: partial 16S ribosomal RNA
Rfam family: Bacterial small subunit ribosomal RNA
Source: RNAcentral